Long non-coding RNA from Strongylocentrotus purpuratus (purple sea urchin), 597 nucleotides. RefSeq lists it as uncharacterized. The record is from RefSeq and is a predicted model, not a curated record. The transcript is spliced from 2 exons. NCBI's taxonomy places the organism in Eukaryota, Metazoa, Echinodermata, Echinoidea, Camarodonta, Strongylocentrotidae.
AUAUACUACUAAACACUAGAGGGCGUACUCGCUCAAAUUGCUGCUCCGAGCUGGAGCGGUGGCCGCCAUUACUAAGGAGGGCAGAAAAACGGACGACCCAACAAGAUACUGUGCACAACAUACGUGGAAAAAUUGAAGAAGCCAGGUUCGUGCGUUGCAUUUGGAUGUUCGAACCGAAGAAAGAAAGGGAACUGCAUAAUAUUUCACAAGAAUACACUCAAGAGAGGAAAGGAUGUUACACACCACAUCUCAUUCCUAGAGCUGUGCCUACUGUCUUUCCUGGACAUCCUCCCUAUAAACAGACCCAUGGCUCAAGACUCCCAGCAAAACCAUGUACAACAUCCGAAAGUGUUCCCGUGCCUCCAAAGAAACCCUAUGACAUUACAAAAGAACAUGACUAUUCUUUUUCUGUCUGAGUUGAUUAGAAACUGAAUAUAACCAGACAGCAAGUGCAGGAUGCCAAGAAACAGCUUCAAGUGGUGAAACAAGGUAAACAGGAGAGAUGGAAAAACCAGGACUCUCUUGCAGGAAGUCCACGAAAGCAAGCUCAUUAGCCAGGAUCAGCUUGACCUACUUCAACACAACUUUGGAGAGAAC